RNAcentral lists this ribosomal RNA (502 nucleotides) under uncultured bacterium. RNAcentral's name for it is "bacterial SSU rRNA". It matches the Rfam family "Bacterial small subunit ribosomal RNA", at positions 29 to 507 of the family's 1533-position model. The record is from RNAcentral.
ACGAACGCUGGCGGCGUGCUUAACACAUGCAAGUCGAACGAGACGAUUUAGAAGCUUGCUUUUAUUGAGUCGAGUGGCAAACGGGUGAGUAACGCGUAGACAACCUGCCGCAAAGAUGGGGACAACAGUCCGAAAGGACUGCUAAUACCGAAUGUUGUAUCUCCUCCGCAUGGAAGAGAUAUUAAAGAUGGCCUCUACUUGUAAGCUAUCGCUUUGCGAUGGGUCUGCGUCUGAUUAGCUUGUUGGCGGGGUAACGGCCCACCAAGGCUACGAUCAGUAGGGGUUCUGAGAGGAAGGUCCCCCACAUUGGAACUGAGACACGGUCCAAACUCCUACGGGAGGCAGCAGUGAGGAAUAUUGGUCAAUGGGCGAGAGCCUGAACCAGCCAAGUAGCGUGCAGGAUGACGGCCCUAUGGGUUGUAAACUGCUUUUAUAAGGGAAUAAAGUGAGCCUCGUGAGGCUUUUGCAUGUACCUUAUGAAUAAGGACCGGCUAAUUCCGUG